UAAUGAUGGCAAAGAGGUCACACCUGUUCCCAUGCCGAACACAGAAGUUAAGCUCUUUAGCGCCGAUGGUAGUUGGGGGUUUCCCCCUGCGAGAGUAGGACGUUGCUA
This 108-nucleotide ribosomal RNA is filed under the name Candidatus Kurthia intestinigallinarum. The record is from RNAcentral. Lineage: Bacteria; Bacillati; Bacillota; Bacilli; Caryophanales; Caryophanaceae. RNAcentral also lists the same sequence under 1 other name.